AACGUAGGGGGCGAGCGUUGCCCGGAUUCACUGGGCGUAAAGCGCGUGUAGGCGGUCCGUUAAGUCGGAUGUGAAAUCUCUGGGCUCAACCCAGAAAUCGCAUCCGAUACUGGCGGACUUGAGGAUGGUAGAGGUUGGUGGAAUUCCCGGUGUACCGGUGAAAUGGACAGAUAUCGGGAGGAACACCAGUGGCGAAGGCGGCCAACUGGGCCAUUCCCGACGCUGAGACGCGAAAGCCAGGGGAGCGAACCGG
RNAcentral lists this ribosomal RNA (253 nucleotides) under uncultured bacterium. RNAcentral's name for it is "partial 16S ribosomal RNA". It matches the Rfam family "Bacterial small subunit ribosomal RNA", at positions 524 to 776 of the family's 1533-position model. The record is from RNAcentral.